Molecule: transfer RNA, 100 nt
Filed under: Tulasnella calospora MUT 4182
Lineage: Eukaryota; Fungi; Basidiomycota; Agaricomycetes; Cantharellales; Tulasnellaceae
Description: tRNA-Asp
Rfam family: tRNA
About the family: Transfer RNA (tRNA) molecules are approximately 80 nucleotides in length. Their secondary structure includes four short double-helical elements and three loops (D, anti-codon, and T loops). Further hydrogen bonds mediate the characteristic L-shaped molecular structure. tRNAs have two regions of fundamental functional importance: the anti-codon, which is responsible for specific mRNA codon recognition, and the 3' end, to which the tRNAs corresponding amino acid is attached (by aminoacyl-tRNA synthetases). tRNAs cope with the degeneracy of the genetic code in two manners: having more than one tRNA (with a specific anti-codon) for a particular amino acid; and 'wobble' base-pairing, i.e. permitting non-standard base-pairing at the 3rd anti-codon position.
Source: RNAcentral
UCUUCUCUGGUAUAUCGGUAGAACAUCACCCUGUCACUUGUGCGCCCGCCUGGGAGUAUGACCCACGGUGAAGAGCUGGGUUCGACUCCCAGGAGGAGAG